This is a long non-coding RNA of Glycine soja, 587 nucleotides long. RefSeq lists it as uncharacterized. The transcript is spliced from 2 exons. Lineage: Eukaryota; Viridiplantae; Streptophyta; Magnoliopsida; Fabales; Fabaceae. The record is from RefSeq and is a predicted model, not a curated record.
UUUCUAACAGAUUUCUAACAACUAGUAACAAACUGAUAAUGGUUCUACCAACCUGAAUAUAGUUGUAACUAACAAUCUUAUUUGAAUUCUAUGGCAGUGCACUACUUCCUUGGGCAAAGCUUGCUUGUAGUGGCAAUUCACACCAAGUCCUUCAGGUGACCAGGGCGCGUGAUGUUCCUCUUGGGCUUCAGAAAAAAUCGGGGCUAAAAAGCCCAAAGGAACAGAAAAAACUACACUGAAACUAAACGCGGAGACGCAGCUCUAACAGUGUCAAAAGGGAGCAAUUGGGCCAAAAAAGAAGGCACCUGCUCAAACAUCAAAAAAUCCUCCUCCAUCUGACAAACAUGAUUUGCUAAGGCAUCAGCACACUUGUUAGCCUCUCUAUACGAAUGCUUGAUGAUCACUCUCAAAUCAAGAUUGAGUAACCUACAAAUUGCUGAUAUAAAGCUCUAACCAGUAGAACCACCAUCCUUGUUUCCCAUAAUACUCGAAACCACAGCUUUUGAGUCCACCUUAAUGUGACUUUUUGUUGAGUGUUGAUAGUAUGAACUAAUCAAACAGAGAAUGAAUACUUCAGGGUUCUAAGA